Molecule: unclassified non-coding RNA, 391 nt
Filed under: soil metagenome
Description: partial contains 5.8S ribosomal RNA, internal transcribed spacer 2, and large subunit ribosomal RNA
Rfam family: 5.8S ribosomal RNA (bases 1-122)
Source: RNAcentral
GAUGAAGAACGUAGCGAAAUGCGAUACUUGGUGUGAAUUGCAGAAUCCCGUGAACCAUCGAGUCUUUGAACGCAAGUUGCGCCCGAAGCCAUUAGGCCGAGGGCACGCCUGCCUGGGCGUCACACGUCGUUGCCCCCCCAUCUACUCCUUCGGGAUUGCGGGGGGCGGAUGAUGGCCUCCCGUGCGCCUCGUCGCGCGGUUGGCAUAAAUGCCAAGUCCUCGGCGACGCACGCCACGACAAUCGGUGGUUGCGAAACCUCGGUUGCCCGUCGUGUGCGGUCGUCGCGCAUCGAGGGCUCGAAAAAAUUGCCGGGCUCCGGCUCGGCUUUCAACGCGACCCCAGGUCAGGCGGGGUUACCCGCUGAAUUCAAGCAUAUCAAUAAGCGGAGGA